CUGCGAAUGGCUCAUUAAAUCAGUUAUAGUUUAUUUGAUGGUUGGAUAACCGUGGUAAUUUAGAGAUACAUGCGUCGAGUCCCGACGGUGAUUCAUAGUAACUGUUCGGAGCGCAGGGGCGCCGGCGCCGGAUCAUUCAAGUUUCUGCCCUAUCAACUGUCGAUGGUAAGGUAUCGGCUUACCAUGUUGCAACGGGGACGGAGAAUUAGGGUUCGAUUCCGGAGAGGCUGAGAACGGCUACCACAUCCGGCAGCAGGCGCGCAAUUACCAAUCCCGACACGGGGAGGUAGUGACAAUAAAUAACAAUACAGGUCUUGUAAUUGGAAUGAGACAAUCUAAAUAACGAGAACAAGGGCAAGUCUGGUGCCUUCCAGCUCCAAUAGCGUAUAUUAAAGUUGUUGGAUUUCGGCGGCGCUACGGUCCGCCGGCGGUGGUAUCUCUCGAGGGCCGCGCGUGCUCUUGACUGGCGCGACUCGGGACGUUUACUUUGAAAAAAUUAGAGUGUUCAAAGCAGGCUGGAUACAUUAGCAUGGAAUAAUGGAAUAGGAUUUUGUUGGUUUCUGGGCCGAGGUAAUGAUUAAUAGGGACAGUUGGGGGCAUUCGUAUUAAUUGUCAGAGGUGAAUUCUUGGAUUUAUGGAAGACGAACGCAUGCGAAAGCAUUUGCCAAGGAUGUUUCGUUAAUCAAGAACGAAAGUUUUCGAAGACGAUUAGAUACCGUCGUAGUUCCAACCAUAAACUAUGCCGACUAGGGAUCGGAGGACGACUCCUUCGGCACCUUUCGAGAAAUCAAAGUUUUUGGGUUCCGGAGUAUGGUCGCAAGACUGAAACUUAAAGAAUUGACGGAAGGGCCAGGAGUGGAGCUUAUUUGACUCAACACGGGAAAACUCAGUCCAGACAUAGAA
This 903-nucleotide ribosomal RNA is filed under the name Corticium candelabrum. RNAcentral's name for it is "bacterial SSU rRNA". It matches the Rfam family "Eukaryotic small subunit ribosomal RNA", at positions 87 to 1235 of the family's 1831-position model. The record is from RNAcentral. Lineage: Eukaryota; Metazoa; Porifera; Homoscleromorpha; Homosclerophorida; Plakinidae.